This 397-nucleotide ribosomal RNA is filed under the name uncultured Prevotella sp. Its description in RNAcentral is "bacterial SSU rRNA". It matches the Rfam family "Bacterial small subunit ribosomal RNA", at positions 355 to 750 of the family's 1533-position model. The record is from RNAcentral. Lineage: Bacteria; Pseudomonadati; Bacteroidota; Bacteroidia; Bacteroidales; Prevotellaceae.
GGAGGAAUAUUGGUCAAUGGACGGGAGUCUGAACCAGCCAAGUAGCGUGCAGGAUGACGGCCCUAUGGGUUGUAAACUGCUUUUGUGCGGGGAUAAAGUGUGGGACGUGUCCCAUAUUGCAGGUACCGCAUGAAUAAGGACCGGCUAAUUCCGUGCCAGCAGCCGCGGUAAUACGGAAGGUCCGGGCGUUAUCCGGAUUUAUUGGGUUUAAAGGGAGCGUAGGCCGGAGAUUAAGCGUGUUGUGAAAUGCCGCGGCUCAACCGUGGCACUGCAGCGCGAACUGGUUUCUUGAGUGCGCGCAACGUUGGCGGAAUUCGCCGUGUAGCGGUGAAAUGCUUAGAUAUGGCGAAGAACUCCGAUUGCGAAGGCAGCUGACGGGUGCGUAACUGACGCUCAU